CCUACGGGUGGCACCAGUGGGGAAUAUUGCACAAUGGGCGCAAGCCUGAUGCAGCCAUGCCGCGUGUACGAAGAAGGCCUUAGGGUUGUAAAGCACUUUCAGUUGGGAGGAAGGCGUUGAUGCUAAUAUCAUCAACGAUUGACGUUACCAACAGAAGGGGCACCGGCUAACUCCGUGCCAGCAGCCGCGGUAAUACGGAGGGUGCAAGCGUUAAUCGGGAUUACUGGGCGUAAAGCGCACGCAGGCGGUUGAUUAAGUUAGAUGUGAAAUCCCCGGGCUUAACCUGGGAAUGGCAUCUAAGACUGGUCAGCUAGAGUCUUGUAGAGGGGGGUAGAAUUCCAUGUGUAGCGGUGAAAUGCGUAGAGAUGUGGAGGAAUACCGGUGGCGAAGGCGGCCCCCUGGACAAAGACUGACGCUCAGGUGCGAAAGCGUGGGGAGCAAACAGGAUUAGAUACCCUCGUAGUC
RNAcentral lists this ribosomal RNA (465 nucleotides) under uncultured bacterium. RNAcentral describes it as "bacterial SSU rRNA". It matches the Rfam family "Bacterial small subunit ribosomal RNA", at positions 338 to 795 of the family's 1533-position model. The record is from RNAcentral.